This is an RNA transcript of Onychostruthus taczanowskii (white-rumped snowfinch), 3669 nucleotides long. It is a transcript of the gene named endonuclease V, with no coding region annotated. The transcript has 10 exons. NCBI's taxonomy places the organism in Eukaryota, Metazoa, Chordata, Aves, Passeriformes, Passeridae. The record is from RefSeq and is a predicted model, not a curated record.
GGCGGGCCCCGCGCCGCUAUGGCCGCGUCCCCCGCCCGGCGGCGCCGCUGGGAGCGGGAGCAGGCCCGGCUGAGGGCCGGCGUGGUGGAGGAGGACACCGAGGAGUGGCAGAAGGACCCGCAGUUCUCCGGGCUGCACAGAGUGGGAGGUGUGGAUUUAUCCUACAUCAAGGGGGACGAGAGCCGUGCCUGCGCCUCCCUGGUCGUGCUCAGCUACCCGGCUCUCGAGGUGCUGUACCAGGACUGCCGCAUGGUGCCCGUCACCGCCCCGUACGUGGCCGGCUUCUUGGCCUUCAGGGAGGUCCCUGUCCUGGUGGAAGCUGUGCAGAGGCUUCAGCAGGAGGAGCCCCAGCUCCAGCCUCAGGUGCUUCUGGUAGAUGGGAAUGGCCUGCUCCAUCCCAGAGGAUUUGGCACAGCCUGUCACCUCGGGGUCCUGACAGACCUGCCGUGCAUUGGCGUGGCCAAGAACCUCCUGCACGUGGAUGGCUUGGUUAGGGACGAGCUGCACAAGGAGCAGGUUCAUUCCCUGCAGAGGUCAGGAGAGGCAUUCCCACUGAGAGGCGCCUCGGGGAAGGUCCUGGGCAUGGUGCUGCGGAGCCACAGCAACAGCUCCAAGCCCCUGUACGUGUCCGUGGGCCACCGGGUGAGCCUGGGCACGGCCGUGCGCCUGGUCAGGGCCUGCUGCCGCUUCCGCGUCCCGGAGCCCAUCCGGCAGAGAGAUGAAAAAUCCAACAGGAGAGUGUGUUUACUCUAGAGAGAUGGCAGGAGACGAGGACACUUAAACCUUUCCAUGGGACUUGUCCCCACUGUGCUUCCUCUGUGUGGUGGCUGCCACAGCUCCUGGCACAGGCAGAGCUGAAAGCCUCAGCUCCUGAGCACCUGCAGCUGGAGUUAGGAAGUAGGAGGCUGUGGAGAAUCCUGCCAUGGAUGACUGACGUGGCCUUUUUGCCAUGGCUGACAUCAGGUCCAGGGAGUACCUUCGGAAGCAGCCCUGCGCUCCAGUGGAGGUGCUGGAGGCUGUGCCUGCCAGCCCAGAGAGCAAAAAGGAGGAUGAAUUGGAGGAUUAGUCUGUACCAGAAGAAAGUGCAGAGCUUCUCUUUGCUGGGUUCUCUCCUGCACCAAGGCUGAGUCCUGCUGGAUGCAGGAGCCCAGUGCCACCCUGGGGGACAGCUGUGCCAGGCUGUGUCCCACAGGACAGCGCCAGCCACUGCUCAGGGAGAAUCCAUGCAGUGAAUUUCUCAGGGUUCAUUUUCAAGUACUGUUAAAAUCUUUGUGUAAGCAAAGGCUCACGUGUAAGUUUGCAACACCUCACUGGAGUCCUUGUGCAGCUGCAGGGGCUGAUUUACAGAGAUGCUGAGACAUUGCCACUGCAGAGCCAGCCUGUGUCUCCCACCACACCUCUGUGGCACAGAGCCCUCCCUUCCCACUGCUUUUGGAGCAGCUUCCCCUUGUUCCUGCAGCCUGGGUUGUGCCAUGCCCCAUGCACGUCCCUGGGGAGCAGCAGCCCCACUGCCCAGCUCUUCUGGAGGAAGGAACAUCUCAGGGGAAAGGAUGGCAGGAAUCAUCUCUCUCCCAGGAGCAUGGGGAGGUCAUUCCUGACACACAGAGUGCUCCAGGAUCCCAGGCUGGAGAUCUGGCCCAGCCCCAGCUCGGCCUGAGGAGCAGAGCCCAGAGCCUCUGUGCCCAAAUCAUCCUCAACCCUCAUCCAGCCUCUAAGACCAAAACUUCUCCAAGGUGUGGGAUCCUGGCUGAGGUUGGCAGGUGAUUCCUGACUGUUCUGAAGAGCAGCAGGAGCAGAAGGUCCUCUGGGAGAUCCUGGUGUGGCUGUGUAAGAUUCCAGCCUGAAGAGGAAGAAGGAUGUUUUCCUGGGGGUGGGGAGGGGUGCUCAGGUCAGACUGCUGUGGGCUUUUUAACUUAAAUUUUGCAUACAUUUGUUGUACAACUUUUGUUCUUUUCUGUCUUGGAGCUCCUCUGGGUGGGGAGGACAAAGCCCAGCCUGUUGUGCCGCUGCUGUGCUGGGGUCUGAACCAGGGGGGGAAGGGAGGAAGUGACAAACCCUGCUCCCUUGGGGCCAUCUGGGCAGGUCUGGGGCUGGUCCUGGCAGUGCUGGGGACAGGCACUGGCAGAGCACUUCCCUGAAAAGCCUUUGCUGACAGGUUUUAGAAGCCAAAGCUGCAGCAGCUGCAGCUCCCAGCCCUACACAGGAGCCACCUCUCCCGGGAACCCUCAGAGCUGCUUCACACCAGGGUUUGCCCACGGGUGGACAGAGCCUGCAAGGGAAAACCACAGUGGAAGCUGCUCCUUUGAUCCUGAGGGCUGCUGCCAGGCCAGGGCAAAGGGAGCACUGGGCUCAUGGCUGGCUGUGGCAGGGGACAGGGGACACAGGGACAGAUGUGUCCCCUCCCGGCACAGACACAGUCUCUGCCACGGCCUGUCCCAUCCUGAGGGAGCAGGGUGGGCACAGAGCCACAGCCAGCAGGGACCACUUCAUUCCUCAUUCCAGCCCCACACAAACCAGUGAGUUCUCUGGCCAUGGGGACAGUCUUCUGAAACCUGUCACUAAUUCAGGCACGAGUGACAGGGUGGGCAGGGGACAGCUCCUUGCUAGAGCUCGUGAGCAGAACACCAGGGAAAUCCAUCUUUGUUUCUGAUUUGGCCUGUGCUGGGAGCUCACAGGGUCAUCCCUGGCUCCUUCCAAAUUCUGGGUAACAGCACACUCCCUGCAGAUUCACCCCAGUGUGCUCAGCUGUGGGGAGCAGCUCCUCCAGGAUGGCCCUGCAGAACAGGGGAACCUUCAGUGUGUGGGACUGGCUUCUCCUGCCCUGGUGAGUGCCUGCCUUUCAUCUCAUGUUUAACCUCUGUGGUUUUAAUCCCUCAUCUAUCGGUCACUUUCUGUGUGCUUCUGGUUGGUAUUUGACAAUGGGAGAUUUGGGGUGGGUUGGUCAGGGGAGGCUCUGCAGCCACAGCUGUGAUUUGAGUGGAAGCUCAAGGAACUGAGCCCAGCUCAGACAGGAACAUGAGGCUCUGGUUGUUCAGGGUCUGUCCCUGGCUGCUCCUGCUGGGAUCUGGGUGUUUUGAUCCACGGAGGGUCCGUGUGCUCAGCCUGUGAGGGAUCCAGGGCUGGGGACACUGCAGGGGACACUGCUGUCCUCAGCUGCCCUGAGCCCCCCCCAGCUGCCUCUGCCCUGGGAGUGAGGGAAAAUCAGGUGAAAAAAAAAAAAAAAAACACCAUAAAAACCAGCUCUGCAUCACUGUCCUGGCUUCCCUCUGCGUGAGGCUCUGAACUCCUCUCCUUCCAAGCCCAGGUAAACUCAGCUGACUCUGGAUGGAGUCACCUGGGAGGCUUUGGGAGGGGAUGGUGCUGCAGUGUCCUGGCAGCCCUGCAGGGCCAGGGGCUCUGGCUGUGCCUUUGGGCUUUGCCUGGGCCGUGGGAUGCUCUCCCAGCUGCCCAAAUGUGGCAGUUUAGUCCUUCCUAAAGGAAGGGACUAAUCUCUGUGUUUGGUGUCUGCUUGUGGCUCUUUGGACACAAUAAGGGAUUAACUUGGUCUUUAUCUAAUUGGUUUAUAACCCUGGGAAGGGAAAAUCGCUUUGUAAUGCUUGAAACCUCUUAAGAGAAACUCAGAGAGUGGAGCUUGAGUGUCCUUCGAAAUAAACUCAUACAUGGCUUGUC